This is a long non-coding RNA of Brassica napus (rape), 2386 nucleotides long. RefSeq lists it as uncharacterized. The transcript is spliced from 3 exons. NCBI's taxonomy places the organism in Eukaryota, Viridiplantae, Streptophyta, Magnoliopsida, Brassicales, Brassicaceae. The record is from RefSeq and is a predicted model, not a curated record.
UAAGUAUCAUAUAUAUUUAUCUACUCUUCAUUGUUACUUAUCCACUUGCAAUUCUCCUUGUGCUUCUUUUUGGUAUGAUAUUACAAUAGUUAGUUCGCUUCUAUGUCGUGCCUAGGUAAGUCUUAUGGCAGUUUAACUUGGAAUACUUCAUUUGGCAUAUUUUUUAUUACGUAGCACGCAUGUGCGGUAAUAAAAUAUUUGUUCUCUCUCUGAACAUUUUGAUAAUUUGAAAUCGGGAAAAUAUGCUGUGGUGCCUAAUAUGAUAUACCCCCUCCCAUGAUUCCUUUAUAAGAUUUAAAUUUCUUUAUAUUAAAAAUGUCUUGCAUAUUAUUCCUUUUUGGUUCUUUGUAUGCAUGUCAUUUCCCACAACACUAUGUUACGUUUUUCAUAUUGUAGAGAAAACAUUUCCCAGAGAGCAAGCGGUUGGAGAAAGCUGCAUUGUAGAGGUCGAAAAGUUGUGAAAUUGUUAUUACAGAAGUGAUCAGUUUGAUCCUAUCCUAUUUUUAUUUUUCGUUUUCUAGUCUAUAUAUGUUUCGGUUUGAAACAUUUUUUCAUUGCCUUUUGCUUGUUUAAAACAUUAGAUUUUUUUCAAGAAACUGAAGAAAUGAAAAAGGAAGAAAAUAAUACCUUCCGGAAACAUUCAUUAUCCUUCAUAAGAAAAAACCAAACUGUCAUCAUAAGGACUCAUAUGAGUGCUUGAUUCUUGUUGAAAAUUUGUUUUGAAUCCAAUAACUUAGAACCAUAAAUUUUAAACUGAUAAAAUAUAUAAGAAAUCGAAAGAGGGAGAGGAAGAGGAAGAUGAAGAUGAAGAUAUAGUUAGUCAAAAAUAUUUUACUGAGGUGAACAGUUAUAUGAGGUCAUGACCAAUCAAAUAAAAGCAAAGAAAAAAAAAGAGUUAAACACAAAAAUAUUUUUACGAUCGUGAUCUAUUUUUUCGUUGUUUCUUCUAAUUACGUUCAUGAUAGUGGUUCUCUUUUUCCUGGGAUAUUAGAUAAUUACGUUCAUUGUUUUAUUGAUGUAAAUUAUCUUUAUAUUAACUCAAAUGUUUUAAUUGAUGCAAAUUAAAAUUAAAAUAACAUCAUUUUAUUAAACUGAUGUCAAAGAUAAAUAUAAUUAUAUAAUUUAAGUUAGCAUCAAUCUUUUAUUGAAUUAAAGUAAGUAUCAUUUCAAUAAGUGAUGUCAAAAAAAAAAAAAAUGAAUACAUCAUUUAUUUAACUGAUACAAUUUUUUAUCAUAGUAUCAAUUUUUGUAAAAUAAUACAAAAUAUGAAAAAGCAUAUCAUUUUAUUGAAUUGAUGUAAAAUAAAAUAAUAAUAAUAUCACUUACUAUUAAAUGAUGCUAAUUUAUAUUUUGUUGUGUAUUAUUUAUUACCUUUGUAUUCAGAAAACAGAAAAUUUUCUUGUAAAGAAGAGAAAAAAUGUUGAAAAGUUAUGAGAGCUAAAUGGGCCGAAAUGAAGAGGAAGCCCAAGCUUGCCAGUGUAACACUUUGAUGCAUAUAUAUGAUGAGUUACGUUGUGCGUUGCUGCUAGCAUGGUAAACAAAAACAAAAAUUGCAGACAUAAAGCAAAACUUCUAAUCUGAAGGGUUUUAGGCAAAAAAAAGUAAGAAUCUUGAGGGUUUUUGUUUCAUUUACAUUGUAGAUCUGAAGUUUGAAGGGAAAAAGUUUGAAUCUUUAGUUGAGGUUUAGGGGUUUUCUUUGAUUUCUGUGUGCAGAUAAUGAUGUUGGCAGGAGGAGGUGGAGGAAAUCCUCCUUGUUCGCCGGAGAAGGACACAAUCGUUUGGGUGGACAUAGAAAACUGUGGAGUCCCAAGCGACCUCAAUUCCACAGAACUCUAUGGUCUCAUCGAGCAAAAGCUGGGUGAAGACGGUUUUAAAUCGCGGGAACUUGGUGGUCAACGUGGUCGUCCCUUUUCUGGAUAGUUAUGUUCCUGAGCUUGGGCCGAAUAUCGAAAUAUGGCGAGCAAGGAAUUACAACAAACCUCUAACAGGACGAGAAUCAAAAAAAAAGAACCAGAUAGCCGACAAGUUCAUCACUCAGAAAAUCAAUGAGUGGCUUGAUAGCAACCCAGCUCCUCACAACGUGAUGGUCGCAACAGGAGAUGACGACUUCAGAACCACGUUCAACAGGCUGAGAAAGGAAGGUCACACAACGUUAAUGGCCUAUAACACCAAAUCUGUUUCGGGAGAUCUACUGAGUAUACAACUUGACAGCAAGUGGGACUGGAGAGAGUUUUUAUCUCUCCCAAUCAGGCAGCUUAGCAAAAAGGAGAAGUGCAGACUGAAGAGCAGACUGAGGGCAAAGGCGUUUAGGAAGAAGCAACGUGCCAAAAGGAGGAGAAGAUGGAUGGCGAUAAAGAGUAGGUGGGUUGGAACCAGAACAAGAUGG